RNAcentral lists this small RNA (835 nucleotides) under Pongo abelii (Sumatran orangutan). Its description in RNAcentral is "processed transcript". Lineage: Eukaryota; Metazoa; Chordata; Mammalia; Primates; Hominidae. The record is from RNAcentral.
GAUUGCUUCAUAGUAUGGUGUGCUGUUGCCGUCUGCCACACCUGUGUUACAGGGAAAAGGACCAGCGCAGCCUAGACAUAAACACUGCCAAGUGCAUGUUGGGACUGUUAUUAGGAAAAAUAUGGCCCCUUUUUCCAGUUUUUCACCAAUUCUUAGAGCAAUCAAAAUACAAAGUUAUUAAUAAAGACCAGUGGUGCAAUGUCCUAGAGUUUAGCAGAACAAUUAAUCUUGACCUCAGCAACUAUGAUGAAGAUGGAGCAUGGCCAGUUUUGUUGGACGAGUUUGUGGAGUGGUAUAAAGACAAACAGAUGUCCUAGGACUUUAUGCAUAGCAGCGAGAGAGUCACUGUUACCACAGUUUUGUCACCCAUUAGCCAUAAAUUGCUGUUUGUAUCAAAGCGCAUGCUGCUUCUCUUGCACUGUUUCCCUUUCGCAGGGACAUGUUGGUGUUUGCUAUUGAAUUGGCCAGCUCUGCUUGCUGUGUGGCAUUGUUCUCUUGGAAGGCUGCUUUGCAGUUUGUAUUUACACUACAGAUUGGUGAAUUUGCCAACGUCCUCACUGUGAUUAUGUGUAUAUUGCUGUUUAAAUUUUGUAUAUGUGUAUAAAAGGAAAAAGCUUCACCUAGAGAUUAUUUCUGAAAAAUGUAUUGUAAAAAUAAUUUUGUGGCAUUUCUAGUCCCUUUUUUUGAAUGAACCAAUGAUACUUUAUUUGGUCUCCUAUGUAGCAUUUCAGAAAACAAGACAAAACUGUUACCAUGAACAAACAUUGCCAGAAUUAACCUUACUGUUUAAGAGGCCAACUUCUGGAAGGAGGUAGGAGUCAUAACUUUUCAGAGG